GAUGAACGCUGGCGGCGUGCUUAACACAUGCAAGUCGAACGGAAAGGCUCCUGCUUGCCGGGGUCCUCGAGUGGCGAACGGGUGAGUAACACGUGGGUGAUCUGCCCUGCACUUCGGGAUAAGCCUGGGAAACUGGGUCUAAUACCGGAUAGGACCACAUUUUGGAUGGUGUGGUGGAAAGUUUUUCGGUGUGGGAUGAGCUCGCGGCCUAUCAGCUUGUUGGUGGGGUAAUGGCCUACCAAGGCGUCGACGGGUAGCCGGCCUGAGAGGGUGUACGGCCACAUUGGGACUGAGAUACGGCCCAGACUCCUACGGGAGGCAGCAGUGGGGAAUAUUGCACAAUGGGCGCAAGCCUGAUGCAGCGACGCCGCGUGGGGGAUGACGGCCUUCGGGUUGUAAACUCCUUGCGCUAGGGACGAAGCGCAAGUGACGGUACCUGGAGAAGAAGCACCGGCUAACUACGUG
RNAcentral lists this ribosomal RNA (465 nucleotides) under uncultured bacterium. RNAcentral describes it as "partial 16S ribosomal RNA". It matches the Rfam family "Bacterial small subunit ribosomal RNA", at positions 28 to 507 of the family's 1533-position model. The record is from RNAcentral.